UACGUAGGGUGCAAGCGUUGUCCGGAAUUAUUGGGCGUAAAGAGCUCGUAGGCGGUUUGUUGCGUCGGCUGUGAAAUCCCGAGGCUCAACCUUGGGUCUGCAGUCGAUACGAGCAAACUAGAGUGUUGCAGGGGAGACUGGAAUUCCUGGUGUAGCGGUGAAAUGCGCAGAUAUCAGGAGGAACACCGGUGGCGAAGGCGGGUCUCUGGGCAACAACUGACGCUGAGGAGCGAAAGCGUGGGGAGCAAACAGG
RNAcentral lists this ribosomal RNA (253 nucleotides) under uncultured bacterium. RNAcentral describes it as "partial 16S ribosomal RNA". It matches the Rfam family "Bacterial small subunit ribosomal RNA", at positions 524 to 776 of the family's 1533-position model. The record is from RNAcentral.